RNAcentral lists this ribosomal RNA (481 nucleotides) under Cryptosporidium sp. vole genotype VIII. RNAcentral's name for it is "SSU rRNA". It matches the Rfam family "Eukaryotic small subunit ribosomal RNA", at positions 514 to 1024 of the family's 1831-position model. Lineage: Eukaryota; Apicomplexa; Conoidasida; Eucoccidiorida; Cryptosporidiidae. The record is from RNAcentral.
AUGAGUUAAGUAUACACCCCUUUACAAGUAUCAACUGGAGGGCAAGUCUGGUGCCAGCAGCCGCGGUAAUUCCAGCUCCAAUAGCGUAUAUUAAAGUUGUUGCAGUUAAAAAGCUCGUAGUUGGAUUUCUGUUAAUAAUUUAUAUAAUAUUUUAACGAUAUUAUGUAAUAUUAACAUAAUUCAUAUUACUAUAUUAUUUUAGUAUAUGAAAUUUUACUUUGAGAAAAUUAGAGUGCUUAAAGCAGGCAUUUGCCUUGAAUACUCCAGCAUGGAAUAAUAUAAAAGAUUUUUAUCUUUUUUAUUGGUUCUAAGAUAAAAAUAAUGAUUAAUAGGGACAGUUGGGGGCAUUUGUAUUUAACAGUCAGAGGUGAAAUUCUUAGAUUUGUUAAAGACAAACUAGUGCGAAAGCAUUUGCCAAGGAUGUUUUCAUUAAUCAAGAACGAAAGUUAGGGGAUCGAAGACGAUCAGAUACCGUCGUAGU